AUUGAACGCUGGCGGCAGGCCUAACACAUGCAAGUCGAACGGUAACAGGAAGAAGCUUGCUUCUUUGCUGACGAGUGGCGGACGGGUGAGUAAUGUCUGGGAAACUGCCUGAUGGAGGGGGAUAACUCCUGGAAACGGUAGCUAAUACCGCAUAACGUCGCAAGACCAAAGAGGGGGACCUUCGGGCCUCUUGCCAUCUGAUGUGCCCAGAUGGGAUUAGCUAGUAGGUGGGGUAACGGCCCACCUAGGCGACGAUCCCUAGCUGGUCUGAGAGGAUGACCAGCCACACUGGAACUGAGACACGGUCCAGACUCCUACGGGAGGCAGCAGUGGGGAAUAUUGCACAAUGGGCGCAAGCCUGAUGCAGCCAUGCCGCGUGUAUGAAGAAGGCCUUCGGGUUGUAAAGUACUUUCAGCGGGGAGGAAGGGAGUAAAGUUAAUACCUUUGCUCAUUGACGUUACCCGCAGAAGAAGCACCGGCUAACUCCGUG
RNAcentral lists this ribosomal RNA (490 nucleotides) under uncultured bacterium. RNAcentral's name for it is "partial 16S ribosomal RNA". It matches the Rfam family "Bacterial small subunit ribosomal RNA", at positions 30 to 507 of the family's 1533-position model. The record is from RNAcentral.